This is a long non-coding RNA of Homo sapiens (human), 1650 nucleotides long. NCBI's taxonomy places the organism in Eukaryota, Metazoa, Chordata, Mammalia, Primates, Hominidae. The record is from Ensembl.
UUUUCCUCCGGAAGUGCGGCACCCAGAGGCCGUCCUGUAGCCGGGCCGGCUUGGGGCUUGGUUCUAUGUCCCUGCGGGUCGGUGCAAGGGCGAAGAGGAACCCGUGGGCCUCAGGGGAUCCCGGGGGGCCGGACCAGUGUUCCCUAGUUGUGGGAGCAGACGCGUGGGCACAUUGCGGGCGGGCAGGGCCUGAAGUGCAGCUAUGUUUCCAGUGUCCUCUGGGUGUUUCCAAGAGCAACAAGAAAUGAAUAAAUCUCUGUUGAAGAGAUACCAUUUGACAUUUUAGAGAUGGCUGCAUGCAAACUCUUGAAACAUUUGACCACCCUCCAGGGUGCCCCGACUCACUUUCCCUGCAGAUGGAGGCAAGGAGGCUCCACAGACAACCCCCCUGCCUGAGGUCACAUAGUGGCCAGCAGGCCAGAUGUGGCUUACCCGUGGAUUCUAGAGAAGAAAGUAGAUGGGAGCAAGUGUCCAAUACAGCAACAGCUGGAAAGAAAAAUAAAGAAUCUUGUUCUUUACCUAAAACACUUCAGUUAACUAAGUGUGAGUUUAAAAACUAAAGAUUGAGAACUUUAUCAGAGUUAAUAAGAAUGAGAAAUAUGUAUGUACAUUUACAAUACAAAAUUACUAUUUAAUAAUUUACACAUGGCAUUAAUUCUAAUUGUGUUUAAAUAUCAGAACUUUUUCAGUCUUCAUUCAUGUAAUCAACAGCCACAUGCUAAGGUACUAGAACCAGCACUGGAAUUACAAGAUGAAGAUGGCAUGGUCCACCUCUCAACAGUCAUAAGCUAUAACCUAAAAAACAGACAGGCAGGCAAUGUCCAUAUAGAGUCAUAGAUACCGUGACAGGUAUACAGCAGGGCACUACUGGAACACAGAGAAGGGACAUCUACCCACUUUUAUGUCAAUAUCAUGGGCUUUCUGGUGGAGGAGAUAACAUAGGUUGAUACCUGAAGGACAAGGAAAAGCUUCCCAGAUAGAGGAAAGAGGCAAAGGCAAAGAGCCUGAGGUGAGGAAGAGCCCUGCAGAGUUCCACUCCAUCCAGUUUGGUGCUAGAGCAAAGGGCAGAGUGCAGUAAGUGGUGAGAAACAAGGCUGAGUAACUUGGCAAGAAUUACAUUGACAUGGGUGUUUUUAUUUCAUGGUGAAAAAUUUGGAACUUUUCCUGAGAACAAGUGUAAGCCAAUGACACAGUAAAUUAGAGGAGAUUUAAAAUGUCACCUGUCAAGUGACUGCUUAUGAAGGGUUAUUGCUCAGCUAAGUAUUUCUGAAUGAGUCUUAGUCUGUUGGCCUUCAAUCUCUACCGAAACCCUGAGAACUUGAUGAUGCUUUUGUUUUCUGAGAAUCGUUUCAGUGUGCUGGCUGACAGUUCCAUGAGGAUGGCAAAACUUAAGAAACUGUAGAGCCAGUGAAAAAGAGAUGCACAGACUUCUUGGGAACUGUUUAAGCUUAGGAACAUGAUGAAUUUAUGGUGCAUAAGUACAGUCUUCUCUGUGAAAGUUUUUGUUUUCACAUCUUUCAUUAGAUGUGUGUAAGAAAAAAAUAUUGAUGUAGUAUCUACUAACCCAAGAAUGAAAAGGAAUGCCAUUUGCUAUUUACACUUUAUUUCUAAAAUAAACCUAAAUUUAAUUAAUAAAUUUUGUCAACGUAC